This 21-nucleotide non-coding RNA is filed under the name Caenorhabditis elegans. Lineage: Eukaryota; Metazoa; Nematoda; Chromadorea; Rhabditida; Rhabditidae. The record is from RNAcentral.
UCGUUUAACAAUUUUUUUAAA